GGCGCCAGCGUGGAGUAUGUGGUUUAUUCGAAGCAACGCGAAGAACCUUACCAGGUCUUGACAUCCGAUGCAUAGCACAGAGAUGUGUGAAAUCCUUCGGGACAUCGAGACAGGUGGUGCAUGGUUGUCGUCAGCUCGUGUCGUGAGAUGUUGGGUUAAGUCCCGCAACGAGCGCAACCCUUAUUGCCAGUUACUACGUUAAGAGGACUCUGGCGAGACUGCCGUUGACAAAACGGAGGAAGGUGGGGAUGACGUCAAAUCAUCAUGCCCUUUAUGACCUGGGCUACACACGUACUACAAUGGCGUUAAACAAAGAGAAGCAAGACCGCGAGGUGGAGCAAAACUCAAAAACAACGUCUCAGUUCAGAUUGCAGGCUGCAACUCGCCUGCAUGAAGUCGGAAUUGCUAGUAAUCGCGGAUCAGCAUGCCGCGGUGAAUACGUUCCCGGGCCUUGUACACACCGCCCGU
RNAcentral lists this ribosomal RNA (468 nucleotides) under uncultured bacterium. RNAcentral's name for it is "bacterial SSU rRNA". It matches the Rfam family "Bacterial small subunit ribosomal RNA", at positions 922 to 1397 of the family's 1533-position model. The record is from RNAcentral.